RNAcentral lists this ribosomal RNA (497 nucleotides) under uncultured bacterium. RNAcentral describes it as "partial 16S ribosomal RNA". It matches the Rfam family "Bacterial small subunit ribosomal RNA", at positions 28 to 507 of the family's 1533-position model. The record is from RNAcentral.
GACGAACGCUGGCGGCGUGCCUAAUACAUGCAAGUUGAGCGCUGAAGGUUGGUACUUGUACCAACUGGAUGAGCAGCGAACGGGUGAGUAACGCGUGGGGAAUCUGCCUUUGAGCGGGGGACAACAUUUGGAAACGAAUGCUAAUACCGCAUAAAAACUUUAAACACAAGUUUUAAGUUUGAAAGAUGCAAUUGCAUCACUCAAAGAUGAUCCCGCGUUGUAUUAGCUAGUUGGUGAGGUAAAGGCUCACCAAGGCGAUGAUACAUAGCCGACCUGAGAGGGUGAUCGGCCACAUUGGGACUGAGACACGGCCCAAACUCCUACGGGAGGCAGCAGUAGGGAAUCUUCGGCAAUGGACGAAAGUCUGACCGAGCAACGCCACGUGAGUGAAGAAGGUUUUCGGAUCGUAAAACUCUGUUGGUAGAGAAGAACGUUGGUGAGAGUGGAAAGCUCAUCAAGUGACGGUAACUACCCAGAAAGGGACGGCUAACUACGUG